UACGUAGGUGUCGAGCGUUGUCCGGAUUUAUUGGGCGUAAAGAGCCCGCAGGCGGCUUGGCAAGUUUGAGGUGAAAUCUCCCGGCUCAACUGGGGGGGUGCCUUGAAAACUGUCAGGCUUGAGUCAUGGAGAGGGAUGUGGAAUUCCAGGUGUAGUGGUGAAAUGCGUAGAUAUCUGGAGGAACAUCAGUGGCGAAGGCGGCAUCCUGGCCAUGUACUGACGCUCAGGGGCGAAAGCGUGGGGAGCAAACCGG
RNAcentral lists this ribosomal RNA (253 nucleotides) under uncultured bacterium. Its description in RNAcentral is "partial 16S ribosomal RNA". It matches the Rfam family "Bacterial small subunit ribosomal RNA", at positions 524 to 776 of the family's 1533-position model. The record is from RNAcentral.